This 253-nucleotide ribosomal RNA is filed under the name uncultured bacterium. RNAcentral describes it as "partial 16S ribosomal RNA". It matches the Rfam family "Bacterial small subunit ribosomal RNA", at positions 524 to 776 of the family's 1533-position model. The record is from RNAcentral.
UACGAAGGGUGCAAGCGUUAAUCGGAAUUACUGGGCGUAAAGCGUGCGUAGACGGCCUUUUAAGUCUGCUGUGAAAGCCCUGGGCUCAACCUGGGAACUGCAGUGGAUACUGUGAGGCUGGAGUGCGUUAGAGGAUGGUGGAAUUCCCGGUGUAGCGGUGAAAUGCGUAGAGAUCGGGAGGAGCAUCAGAGGCGAAGGCGGCCAUCUGGACCAGCACUGACGUUGAGGCACGAAGGCGUGGGGAGCAAACAGG